GAUUUCUGACUUGGCGCACCUGGCCCGCCACGGUUACGUGUGUGAGUACCGGGAUGCGCCUGUCACUUUUCUGGUAAACUAUUGUGCUCUUCACUGAGCAUGAUAGGUAGCCAGAUCUUUUACUUUGAAAAAAUUAGAGUGUUUAAAGCAGGCGUUUGCUAUGAAUACAUUAGCAUGGAAUAAUAAGUUAGGACUUCGGUUCUAUUUUGUUGGUUUCUAGGACUGAAGUAAUGAUUGAUAGGGAUAGUUGGGGGUGCUAGUAUUCAGCGGCCAGAGGUGAAAUUCUCGGAUUCCUUGAAGACUAACUUAUGCGAAAGCAUU
RNAcentral lists this ribosomal RNA (321 nucleotides) under Allapsidae sp. Its description in RNAcentral is "SSU rRNA". The stretch from base 59 to 321 matches the Rfam family "Eukaryotic small subunit ribosomal RNA", at positions 691 to 955 of the family's 1831-position model. The record is from RNAcentral. Lineage: Eukaryota; Cercozoa; Glissomonadida; Viridiraptoridae.